UACGGAGGAUGCGAGCGUUAUCCGGAUUUAUUGGGUUUAAAGGGUGCGCAGGCGGUCUGUUAAGUCAGCGGUCAAAGCCCGGGGCUCAACCCCGGGACUGCAUUGGAAACUGUCGCGCUCGAGUGUCGGAGAGGUAAGCGGAAUUCCUGGUGUAGCGGUGAAAUGCGUAGAUAUCAGGAGGAACACCGGCGGCGAAGGCGGCUUACUGGACUGUAACUGACGUUGAGGCUCGAAGGCGUGGGGAGCAAACAGG
RNAcentral lists this ribosomal RNA (253 nucleotides) under uncultured Lachnospiraceae bacterium. Its description in RNAcentral is "partial 16S ribosomal RNA". It matches the Rfam family "Bacterial small subunit ribosomal RNA", at positions 524 to 776 of the family's 1533-position model. The record is from RNAcentral. Lineage: Bacteria; Bacillati; Bacillota; Clostridia; Lachnospirales; Lachnospiraceae.